UGGAGCUAGCCGGGUUCGAACCGGCGACCCUCUGCUUGCAAAGCAGAUGCGCUACCAGCUGCGCUAUAGCCCC
This 73-nucleotide transfer RNA is filed under the name Bifidobacterium longum. RNAcentral describes it as "tRNA-Ala". The record is from RNAcentral. Lineage: Bacteria; Bacillati; Actinomycetota; Actinomycetes; Bifidobacteriales; Bifidobacteriaceae.